Molecule: unclassified non-coding RNA, 433 nt
Filed under: Hevea brasiliensis (rubber tree)
Lineage: Eukaryota; Viridiplantae; Streptophyta; Magnoliopsida; Malpighiales; Euphorbiaceae
Source: RNAcentral
CGAAGAAGGCGUGAAGAAAGCUGAUGAGAUCGCAGCCGUUGAUGGGGUUGACUGCAUACAAAUGGGGCCGUUGGAUCUGAGUGCAAGCAUGGGUUACCUUUGGGACCCGGGGCACAAGAAAGUAAGGGAGAUGAUGAGGGUAGCAGAGAAGGCAGUGCUGGGGUCCAACCCUGCGAGCGGAGGUGGGGCCUACUUGGCAGGGUUUUCAUUGCCGCAUGAUGCGCCCACUAAUAUGAAAUCACGUGGAUAUCACAUGGUAUCAGGUACAGUUGAUGUGGGAUUGUUUAGGAGUGCUGCUGUGGAAGAUGUGAAGAGCUUUAAGAUGAGUUUGGUUGAAGGGUCCGAUGACGACGGGGAGGGCGGUAAAGAAUCUGCUGAUGAGAAGUACUGGAGCGAAUAAUUUCUUUUUUUUUUUUUUUUUGGAAUUUUUUAG